Molecule: ribosomal RNA, 500 nt
Filed under: uncultured bacterium
Lineage: Bacteria
Description: partial 16S ribosomal RNA
Rfam family: Bacterial small subunit ribosomal RNA
Source: RNAcentral
AUUGAACGCUGGCGGAAUGCUUUACACAUGCAAGUCGAACGGCAGCACGGACUUCGGUCUGGUGGCGAGUGGCGAACGGGUGAGUAAUGUAUUGGAACGUGCCCAGUCGUGGGGGAUAACGUAGUGAAAAUUACGCUAAUACCGCAUACGAUCUAUGGAUGAAAGCGGGGGAUCGCAAGACCUCGCGCGAUUGGAGCGGCCGAUAUCAGAUUAGGUAGUUGGUGGGGUAAAGGCCCACCAAGCCAACGAUCUGUAGCUGGUCUGAGAGGACGACCAGCCACGCUGGAACUGAGACACGGGCCAGACUCCUACGGUAGGCAGCAGUGGGGAAUUUUGGACAAUGGGCGAAAGCCUGAUCCAGCCAUUCCGCGUGCAGGAUGAAGGCCCUCGGGUUGUAAACUGCUUUUGUACAGAACGAAAAGGUUUCUACUAAUACUAGGAGCUCAUGACGGUACUGUAAGAAUAAGCACCGGCUAACUACGUGCCAGCCGCCGCAGUAA